Caenorhabditis elegans is the source of this 257-nucleotide non-coding RNA. Lineage: Eukaryota; Metazoa; Nematoda; Chromadorea; Rhabditida; Rhabditidae. The record is from Ensembl.
UCCUCCUAUACAACUCUCAACCCAAAAUCCCAAACCGAUUUCUCUGUUGGGGGUGCUAAAUGGUUCAUUAGGCGUCCGGUCGGGGGUACGCGCGGAAAAGGGAAGCGCCCGUCUUAUUAAAUAAUGGUUACUCUUCUCGUCCGCCGCUUUUGCUCGGCUUCUGCUGCUCAAAAAGUUUUUGGCGGGAAUAGAAAAUAGCCGAGAAAAGAAGAAUGCACUAAAUUCAAUCACGUCGUCUUCUGCUCUUUUUCCUCGUC